This 253-nucleotide ribosomal RNA is filed under the name uncultured bacterium. Its description in RNAcentral is "partial 16S ribosomal RNA". It matches the Rfam family "Bacterial small subunit ribosomal RNA", at positions 524 to 776 of the family's 1533-position model. The record is from RNAcentral.
UACGUAGGGGGCUAGCGUUGUCCGGAAUCACUGGGCGUAAAGGGUGCGUAGGCGGGUCCUUAAGUCAGGGGUGAAAUCCUGGAGCUCAACUCCAGAACUGCCUUUGAUACUGAGGAUCUUGAGUUCGGGAGAGGUGAGUGGAACUGCGAGUGUAGAGGUGAAAUUCGUAGAUAUUCGCAAGAACACCAGUGGCGAAGGCGGCUCACUGGCCCGAUACUGACGCUGAGGCACGAAAGCGUGGGGAGCAAACAGG